This 102-nucleotide non-coding RNA is filed under the name Desulfosporosinus sp. RNAcentral's name for it is "Guanine sequence". It matches the Rfam family "Purine riboswitch aptamer". From Rfam's summary of the family: Riboswitches are metabolite binding domains within certain messenger RNAs that serve as precision sensors for their corresponding targets. Allosteric rearrangement of mRNA structure is mediated by ligand binding, and this results in modulation of gene expression. A class of riboswitches that selectively recognises guanine and becomes saturated at concentrations as low as 5 nM. The record is from RNAcentral. RNAcentral also lists the same sequence under 1 other name. Lineage: Bacteria; Bacillati; Bacillota; Clostridia; Eubacteriales; Desulfitobacteriaceae.
AAGACAAAUGAAUAGUGUGUUCAUAUAGUAGCAGAGAUAAGGUCUGCGAGUUUCUACCGGACUGCCGUAAAUGGUCCGACUAUGAGCGAAAGUGUACCUAAG